AUGUAACGCGAGUUCUUUCUUUGUGCAAUAGAAUUAACAUUAUACGUUUCUACUAACCGUAUACGUAACAUCGAUCUGUGUGUCUCUCUCUCUCUCUCUCUCCUCUCUCUGUCCUUCUCUCCCUUUCCCUCCCCCCCUCUGUCUCUCUCUCUCUUUCCUCUCGUCUCUCUCUCUCUCUUUCUCUCUUUCUCUCCGUCUCUCUGUCUUCUUUUUCAAUCUGUAUAAGUAUUGAAAAUUGACCGAUUAUGGUGAUUAAUAUGAAAUGAUCUCGACACGAACGUUAUUAUUCGAAUGUCGAGGUUAGGUCAAACAUCGUGGCAACGAAUCGAAGAAGAAGACAUUUCAUACGACGGAUUAAUUAUUUUUCUAUUUUACGUGGACCAGAAUACUUCUUCGCCGUCUAAAUGCGCAUUAAAAUGUCGGAGUUCCCAGUGGAGGGGGGAGAAAACGGGGACAUGCAAGCGGUCAUGGAAAACUUUCAAAAAAAGAACAAUCUGGUCACUGGCCGGACCCAUGUUUCCCAUCAUCCACAAGUUACCACUUCAUCGCAGAUGCUGACGACGAAUCAGAGCCAGAGCAGCAGCAGCAGCAGUAGUUCGAGCAGGGUGGCCAAAUCCUCUCAGAGGAUCCUUACGUCGUCCUCGUCGAGUGAAAUGAAGGCGAGCUCUAUGAAGAGCGAUCUGACAGAAUUAAAGCGUGGCAUUUCGGAGAUGAAAAAUAUUUCAACGAAUUUUUCACGAUUACGUAGCAGCAUGGAGAAUCUCGUUGACAGAGACGGAACCGGCGCCGAAGAAAAUGAUUUGACCGAGCCAUUGGUAACAUUCCCGGAUCCUGAUACACCUCCACCCUCAACGGGAACUGUCACAUUGACGGGAGGUUCACCGUCUCAAUUGAGUUCUCUCAAUUCAUUGAACAAUCUUCACAGUAUGAGCCCGCAGAUGAAUAUGCCGAGUAUAACGAAUAGGACGAGUUUACCUGCCGGUCAGGAAACUAUGAAAUUCGAACAGAAGAAAAUGACGAGUGCAUCCAAGACGAAGGUCGUUACCGAUGGAUUUAGUGCUGAAAAGGCAAUAGCCAAUAGCGCUGAAAUGAGAGCAUUACAAGCUGGCGAUGUAUCUUACAAAGAACAAAGCGCCGCGACCGCGGCAAGGGCACGGGUCGAAUUGGACGGUGUAUCUGCGGAAAAGAGGGUAGCUGCAGCCAGAGAACAGCGAAGCUUGAAGGCUGGAGAUUUAUCGCAUCAAGAGAGCAACAACAUGGCAGCCUCGACUAUGAAGUUACAAAGUGAUUCAUUCAGUUCAGAAAAGAAGGCGAUGGCGGCACAACAACAACGUCAGACAGUAACUUCCUCAGGAAUUUAUAAUCACGAAAAACACAUGGCAUCGAGUUCGCAAUCGAGCAUAACAAUAGCUUCGAAAGGAGUUACGUCAAAAUCAUCGAUGAUAUGUGCCGCCAAUGCGGUAAAUCAAUUGAUGAAUGGUAUGAGGCCAGCUGAGGAUGAACUUCUUUCAUUGCCAUUGGACGAUCUGGAUUUAUUAUGUUCUAAGUCAAAUCCGCAGGAUGUUGAUCGUGCGAUUGCUAAAUACUCCGGUUUCUUGGAUAGUUUCGUCGAACGUUUAAAGACCAACGAAGGAAAGAACGGGAAAGCUCCGUUGUUAUUGAACAGGGUAAACGAGAUCAUCAGAAAGGCCUGGGCUGUACCUACUCAUGGUCAUGAACUUGGUUAUACACUGUGUAACACCCUUAGAACGAGAGGUGGUCUAGAUUUGUUGAUGUCAAAUUGCAUUGCGAGCGAUCACGAAUUACAAUUCUCCUCGGCCAGAUUAUUGGAACAAUGUUUGACAACUGAAAAUCGUGCCCACGUGGUUGAACAUGGCCUUGAGAAGGUUGUAAACGUAGCUUGUGUGUGCACGAAGAAUGCCAACUCCGUGGAUCAUUCUAGAGUGGGCACCGGUAUAUUGGAACAUCUCUUCAAGCAUAGUGAGGGUACCUGUAGCGACGUUAUCAGGCUUGGCGGUUUGGACGCGGUUUUAUUCGAGUGUAGAAAGAACGACGUAGAAACAUUGAGACACUGUGCCGGGGCAUUAGCCAAUUUGUCACUUUACGGUGGUGCUGAAAAUCAAGAAGCUAUGAUCAAGAGAAAGGUACCAAUGUGGCUCUUUCCACUUGCCUUUCAUAACGACGAUAAUAUAAAGUAUUACGCUUGUCUGGCCAUCGCAGUUUUAGUAGCCAACAAAGAAAUUGAGGCGGCCGUUUUAAAAUCCGGUACCCUUGACUUAGUCGAGCCAUUCGUAACAUCUCACAAUCCUUACGAAUUUGCAAAAUCGAAUUUGGCGCAUGCUCAUGGACAAAGUAAAAAUUGGUUGGAAAGAUUGGUACCCGUGUUAAGUUCGAAAAGAGAGGAAGCCAGAAAUCUCGCAGCUUUUCACUUUUGCAUGGAAGCUGGUAUUAAGAAACAACAAGGCAAUACCGAGAUAUUUCGUGCCAUAGGAGCGAUCGAACCAUUGAAGAAAGUCGCCAGUUGUCCAAAUGCAAUUGCCUCCAAAUACGCUGCUCAAGCAUUACGUUUGAUCGGCGAGGAAAUACCACAUAAACUUAGCCAACAGGUACCACUUUGGUCUACGGAGGAUGUUAGAGAAUGGGUUAAACAAAUAGGUUUUGCCGAGUGUGCUGCAAAUUUUGUUGAGAGUAGAGUGGACGGUGAUCUUUUGCUCCAAUUGACAGAGGAGAAUCUCAAGGAGGACAUCGGCUUGACGAAUGGAAUUAGAAGGAGACGUUUUACGCGGGAAUUACAAAAUUUGAAAAAAAUGGCGGAUUACAGUAGCAGGGAUACCGGAAAUUUAAAUAGUUUCUUACAAUCUAUCGGUCAAGAAUUUUCUAUAUAUACUUAUAGUAUGCUCAACGCUGGCGUUGACAAAGAUUCUAUCAGAAAUUUAUCCGAGGAUCAAUUAUUGACCGAGUGUGGUAUAGCCAAUAGUAUACAUCGACUUAGGAUAUUGGAUGCCAUAAAGAACAUGCAACACAAUCAAUUCAGUUCUUGCGAAGACGAAUCGCCGGAUAAAUCUUUAGAUGUAUUCGUUAGUUAUAGAAGAUCCAAUGGAUCUCAAUUAGCUAGCUUACUCAAGGUUCAUUUGCAAUUACGUGGAUUUUCGGUCUUUAUCGACGUCGAAAGGUUAGAGGCCGGUAAAUUCGAUAAUAAUUUGUUGCAAAGUAUAAGACAGGCCAAACACUUCCUCCUUGUGCUAACGCCCAAGGCAUUAGAAAGGUGUAUACAGGACAACGAGUGUAAAGACUGGGUCCACAGGGAAAUUGUAGCUGCGUUACAAUCGCAGUGUAACAUUAUUCCCAUAAUAGAUAAUUUUCAAUGGCCUGAACCUGAAGAUCUUCCUGAAGAUAUGCGAACGGUUUGUCACUUUAAUGGCGUACGUUGGAUUCACGAUUAUCAAGAUGCUUGCGUAGACAAAUUAGAAAGGUUUAUGCGAGGAGAAAUUCCUGUAAGAUCUGAAUUAUCCGGUGGUAUACCAAGAAGUAUAGCAUCCAAGGACGUAACAGCACCUAGUACGCCAGGUAGCACGAAUAUGCGACAAGCACCAAAUUAUCAACGAAUGCAUAGCAAUGAAAGUAGAGGUAGCGACAAGGAUUCAAAUGGUGGGCGAGACUGACUAGACGGCCCGCCCACAGCUAUUCCAAACAGCAGGGAAUAUGAAUCGCGAUAAGACAAUCACGAUUUUAGAUUUAGAAAAUCGUCGAGUCCGUCCCGUUGGUUAAUGGGUUUGCCGCCAACGUCACCUCGAUUAAAAUUCGUCCAUACACAUCCUGGAGGAAGUCCAAUACCU
Molecule: RNA transcript, 3836 nt
Organism: Vespa velutina
Lineage: Eukaryota; Metazoa; Arthropoda; Insecta; Hymenoptera; Vespidae
Gene: Sarm
Gene name: NAD(+) hydrolase sarm1
Exons: 11
Source: RefSeq, a predicted model, not a curated record